This 450-nucleotide ribosomal RNA is filed under the name uncultured bacterium. RNAcentral's name for it is "partial 16S ribosomal RNA". It matches the Rfam family "Bacterial small subunit ribosomal RNA", at positions 354 to 796 of the family's 1533-position model. The record is from RNAcentral.
GUGGGGAAUUUUGGACAAUGGGCGAAAGCCUGAUCCAGCCAUGCCGCGUGCAGGAUGAAGGCCUUCGGGUUGUAAACUGCUUUUGUACGGAACGAAAAGACUCCUUCUAAUAAAGGGGGUCCAUGACGGUACCGUAAGAAUAAGCACCGGCUAACUACGUGCCAGCAGCCGCGGUAAUACGUAGGGUGCAAGCGUUAAUCGGAAUUACUGGGCGUAAAGCGUGCGCAGGCGGUUAUAUAAGACAGGCGUGAAAUCCCCGGGCUCAACCUGGGAAUUGCGCUUGUGACUGCAAGGCUGGAGUGCGGCAGAGGGGGAUGGAAUUCCGCGUGUAGCAGUGAAAUGCGUAGAUAUGCGGAGGAACACCGAUGGCGAAGGCAAUCCCCUGGGCCUGCACUGACGCUCAUGCACGAAAGCGUGGGGAGCAAACAGGAUUAGAAACCCUUGUAGUCC